Molecule: ribosomal RNA, 549 nt
Filed under: Cryphonectria radicalis
Lineage: Eukaryota; Fungi; Ascomycota; Sordariomycetes; Diaporthales; Cryphonectriaceae
Description: eukaryotic LSU rRNA
Rfam family: Eukaryotic large subunit ribosomal RNA
Source: RNAcentral
GAAAAGAAACCAACAGGGAUUGCCCUAGUAACGGCGAGUGAAGCGGCAACAGCUCAAAUUUGAAAUCUGGCUUCGGCCCGAGUUGUAAUUUGCAGAGGAUGUUUCUGGCGCGGUGCCUUCCGAGUUCUCUGGAACGGGACGCCACAGAGGGUGAGAGCCCCGUAUGGUUGGACACCAAGCCUGUGUGAAACUCCUUCGACGAGUCGAGUAGUUUGGGAAUGCUGCUCAAAAUGGGAGGUAAAUCUCUUCUAAAGCUAAAUACCGGCCAGAGACCGAUAGCGCACAAGUAGAGUGAUCGAAAGAUGAAAAGCACCUUGAAAAGGGGGUUAAACAGUACGUGAAAUUGUUGAAAGGGAAGCGCUUGUGACCAGACUUGCGCCGGGCGGCUCAUCCGGGGUUCUCCCCGGUGCACUCCGCCCGGCUCAGGCCAGCAUCGGUUUUCGUUGGGGGAUAAGAACGGCAGGAACGUGGCCCUCCUUCGGGUGGGUGUUAUAGCCUGCCGUACGAUACCCUGACCGGGACCGAGGUUCGCGCUCCCAAGGAUGCUGC